CUGGGGAAUUCUCGAGUUGCCGCAAAAGGCAUGCAAAGAAAAAAACUAGGCAGGGAGGAACUUACCUGAGAAAGGAGCCCCGGGGCAACUCUUCUCAGAAUCCAGCGAGAGGCGUGGAGAGAGGGCCGCGGUGCUCUGGAGUAGAGGCUCUGCCUUCGAAACACCAUCGAUCGUCCCUUCUUCUUUACCUUCUUCUGGCUCUUCUUGGAGACGCGACCGGUGGCACCCCUGCUCGGUUCGCUCCAACCUGCUUUUGUUCUAUCUGCGCCUCUGCCGCGGAUCCUCUCUUGAGCCCCU
RNAcentral lists this unclassified non-coding RNA (297 nucleotides) under Dapple plum and peach fruit disease viroid. The record is from RNAcentral.